AUGCGUUACACCUUGAUCUUUCUUGUCUUCAAUAAUUUCCAUGGAGCCCAUACAGUGUGUUUAGAUGCAUUUAGUUGGUUAUGGAGUGAAACAUUUUUUGGGCAGAUGUUAGAAAGGCGAUGACUAUUUCAUGAAAUUAUUUUGAUAAUUACAAAACAGUGACCAAGUUUUAAAAAUUUCACUAUAAGUUAAGUUUUUCAAAUAAAAAAAAACAAUGAAAGUGUGACAUCACCUCAACAUCACAUAUAACAUAACUGUUAAUUUCUUCGAGGAAAAAUAAAUUCAUACAAAUUAAUUUGUCACACUACAUCGCUGGAUACUUUCAUUAUUUUGGAUGCAUAACAGCGGAAUUGGCCAAUACCGAGGGACUCGUAAGGGGAACAACGUCAUCGUCAUUCUCAAUCCAG
Molecule: long non-coding RNA, 407 nt
Organism: Eupeodes corollae
Lineage: Eukaryota; Metazoa; Arthropoda; Insecta; Diptera; Syrphidae
Exons: 4
Source: RefSeq, a predicted model, not a curated record